RNAcentral lists this long non-coding RNA (5176 nucleotides) under Sus scrofa (pig). Its description in RNAcentral is "lncRNA (ENSSSCG00000053827.1)". Lineage: Eukaryota; Metazoa; Chordata; Mammalia; Artiodactyla; Suidae. The record is from RNAcentral.
CAGGAGCUAUAGUGCCAUUGGUUGAGUUCAAUGUUAAUCUAUCAACAAUGUAUUCAAAUAAAAUGUCUUUAAACAGAAACACACAUGAAAUAGGAUUUGUAUUGAUCAGUUGAGGUGGACUAACAAGUACCUAACCUUAUGUUUUCCCUAGGUGCAUUGAUUUAGUAUUCACUAAUUCAGAGAUCCAGGCAACUUUAUAAACCACUAUGUGAAUAAUGAGAGUUAGUUGUCUAUGGCUUAAGCUUCUAAACACCAGAAGCUUAUAUUGGCAUUAGUGUGUUUAUGCACAAAGCCUUUUGUAGGAAUAUAUUUGGCUUAAUCUGUCCAGGCAUGUAGCUUUUCCAUUUCUGGAGAGAGAAUAAAUAAAAGGAGUUAGUCCAUUUUAUCUUUCACACCUCUUUACAUUGAUCUUCUUUUGUCUUUAAAUGUUUCAUCACAGGCCAGAUUGUAGAUACAUGGAAUAAUGACCUCAAUCCUGUAAAAAAUAACUAUAGUUUCAUUUGGUGGAAUAGGUUUUCUACUUUUAGGUUUGAACUGAUCAUCAUCUGGGUGAGGAAGUGCCUGCUUCGGUUUCACUUCAUGGUACACUUUUGAACAGUUAUAUGUGCAUGGGGGUUUUCUGCUUUAUGUGAGGAACUUUUAUCAGAUCAUAUUUGUGAUAAAAUUAAAAAAAAACCCUUUCCAUCAUCAUUGUCAACAUAAAGAUUAUGUUUACUGAUUUUUAGAAAAAAUUUUCUUUCCUACAUGACAUUUGUAGCAAAAGUCUUUCUUAUGGCUAUAUUUUACCAUGAAAAAAGAAUGAAAAACAUUAUCAGAAAUCAUGCAUUUCACAUAAACUCAGCAAUGAAGAGCUUAUGAAAUACAAAUCUUAGGAAAUCUUAAUUAGCUUCACUUUGGUGACUGAAUCCAGUGAUCAAAGAAAAAUCUUUUGCUCUUGCUACAACUGAUUCAUAACUUUAGGUCUGAAGGAAGAUUUCUGUUUGUGGAGCUAUAUAUACGGUCAGAUUUUCUGCUUCCUUUAUUGGUACCCACAGAUUGGUUUGUAAUUAACUGCUACCCUUGCUCUCUUAUGUUAGAUGUCUGGAGAGAGGAAAUAAGGAGCUGGUAUCAUGAUUCCUUCUCUAAGGUUUUGGAAGCAGUUUACUUAUGCAAUAUCCUUUUGUUUGACUGAAGUUCUAUAAAACUCUCAAGAAAAAAAAUAGAUUAUAGAAGAACUGCUGAUGUGGCCUCAUCUUAAGCAGUAGGUACAUAGUAACAUAUAGGUAGCUAGUAAACCCCUUUUAUUCUAACAACAUAAGAUAAUACAUACUCUGGUGAAACAAAGUUAAGUUCUUAGAACUAGCUAAGGUCUCGAGUGAAUAUUAUUUCUUCAGUUAUUUCUAGAUAAAAAUUUAAUGAGUUAAUAAUUAUAUUUCCAAGUUCAGUACCAUAUUGGAACUAUACUAUGUGAUUUUAAAGAUCCUUUUUUAAUGAUUAGAGGUUAAGAUUAUAUAUUUUAAAAUUUCAACUUGUCAAUACAAAAAACUUGUGGAGGGUAGGUCUAAGGUGGGAGUCCAAUAUCUUUUUUGUGUGAUUUCUUAUGGAUACAUUCCCAGAAUGCCAGUAUAUACCAUAGAAAUGCUGACAGUUUUCAAAAUUUUUAUUGUAACUCUACCUAUGAGCAUUUUAAAAGUAAAUAUUCUGCUUUGUAGUUGUCUUUGACUUUCAGAGAUCACGGUGAAAUCAUCUUUUGUUGACUUCCUUUUGAGGGGGGCAAAGAUGUAUAUUUAUCACAAUUGAUAUUUAUGUCCAAAAUCUUACCAAUGUGUUCAGGUAAUUAGGACAAAAUUGUUUAUGAAAAAAGGAGAUGUACAGAGAGCAUAUGAAAAGCUACAGAUAUCUUUAACAAAAAUUGCUAAUAUUUGCACUUCUAUAGUACAGAAACAUGAAAUUUAACAUGUCUGUCUCUCAAAUGCAUGCCUUUUGGGGUAUGAUGAACCUGAUGGUAAAUCCAUUUGCUGAAGCUCUCAGCCAUUAAGAUCACAUGUUCCCUAACAAAAGACUCCACUCAAUUACAAGAUCACAAGGGGACCUGGCAAGUCAGCUCCCAGCAUCAAGGUCCAUGAAUGAAGACCUUUAAUCUACUUAAGACCAGCCUUUCACACUAGCAAAUUUGCAGAGGCAUUUUUUCCCUUCUCUAGAUUUUUAACAUGUGAAUAAAAUUCAAUGUUUAUCAAGCUUUAUAAGCCCCAUUGUUUAUGUAGCUCUUGGAUACAUAAAUAACUUCAUCAGAAGUUUCUAUCAAUCUAAGCAGUGUUACCUCUGCAAAGUGUCUCCCUUAUUAUUCCUUGUAGCCUUUUUACUUGCUCUUCCCUCUAUCAAGAAAUACUUCAGGUAUUUUCAUGACUCUCUUACUUCAUUCAAACCUCUCAGAAAGGCUUUCUCUGACCACCUGUUAUUAACUCUCAAUACCCUUCUAGUAUUUUUGGUUUUUCAUUCAUAGAACUUUCUGCUACCUUAAAAAUAUCAUUAUCUCUUUGCUGUGAUCAUCAGAAUGUUAUAUCUUACAAAUAGGGACCUAGACUAAAAAAAUAUAUACUGCUCUGUAUUCCAAGCAUCAAACAUAUCCCUAAUACAAAGGAAUAGGCACACAAUAUUUGUAGAAUAGAUAAACAAUUUCAUUGCUAUCUUUUUUCCUUUUAUUCUUUCUUUUCAUUUUCAUCAGCAUUAGGAAGGAUAAAGAUAUUAAAAAUUAGAAUAGGCGAAGAUAGUCAAAGUUAAAAAGGUGAUAGACAUCUCAAAGUGUUUAGGCAAUAAAACAUCUCAAAGCCUAAGAGAGACUUGCUAGAUUCAUAUCCUGGCUCUUAUGCUUGCUAAUGUGCAAACAUGGAUAAAUUACUCAAGCUCUCUGUAUCUUAGUUUCUUUAAAGUAAUCAUGGGACAUGUGUCUAAUCACACUGAAUUAUUUUAAAAAUUAAGUGUAUUAAUUUAGAUAAAGUGUUUGGACAAGUACCUAGUAUAUAAGCAUGUAUUUAGUGUUGGCUACUAUUGUUAGUAUCUAGUUUAAAAUAUUUGGAAAAGGAAAGAGACCUAGCUGUGGGAUAUGGGAUGAUAUGGAAUAGAAAUAAUUUGAUCAAAAUAUAUAAUUAUUCUGUACAUUUGCUACUCAGUGAGCUAAUAGAGGCAGUGAUCUUAAUUACAACCUUUUUUUUUUUUGUAAAUGCCCCUUCUUAUUGAGAUGAACCAGUAGUUGCAAAAUUGCAAAUCUAUCAGAAUAAGUUUAGCAUUUUUCAAUUCACCUAUGCAAAUUAAUCAUUUGUAAUAGUUUAUCUAGGGGCAUGUUUUCCCCUGCUUCAGCUUUGGAAGCUAGGAUAAAUGUAACAUAUUAGGAAGCAGGAAAUAGAUGGGAGUAGAAUGUUUACAACUUGUUACUCCUUAUUUGCUAAUAAGCAAAUGCCUAUCAAUAUCUCUAUGUAAAGACCACCUCCCAGCAAAAUAUAGACAUGAUACACAGAGAGAAAUUGAGACACACAGGUACAUUUCCUGUCCAUGGCCAAUAUUGAGAGCAAGCAUGGCUCUUCCCCUUUGGAGAGCUAAAUUGGCUUUGGGAUCCUUCUAAGCACAGCAUUCCUAGCAAACACUCCAACCAAUCAGAACUUGUGUAAGCUCUCCUGGACCAUGGAUUUUUGUCAUCUUGAUGUUUUUCUAUAUUACCAAAAUCUAGAACAGUCCUGGCACAGAGUAGGUACUCAGCCAAUAUUAGUUGAUUAGGUAAAUAAAUAAUUAUUAUAUCUUUGACUUAGUUCUUUUGCAUUUCAGGUAAUAAAGUCAUAUUUUUUUAAGGCUAGUGCUGAUGCCUCCAUAUACAUGAGAAAUUGGAGUAAGGAGACAACACCUCACGUUACUCCUAUUUUAUGCAAGGUUUUGUAACUGAGGUAAAAUUAUUUGUAGUUCUUCUGCCAAUCCACUCACCCUAAUCCGCUCACUCCUCUGUUUUGUUACAUUGAAAUAACUGAAAAGCUCUUCUCUGGUCUCCACCUUAGCCCAAGUAUUUUCUCAUGACCCACAUCCACCCUGACACACAAUUUUAUGUUUAUCCAGCCUUCCUGGUCAUUUAUCCUCAUUCAUAGUCUCACUUCCUUAUUGUUGCCUCCUUCCUAUAGAUCUGCAAAAGCAUCCUGGACCAUUGACAUGGCUCUGAUCUAGGUCUUUGUUUUCUUUCUUUUUCUGAUUUGAGUCCCUGUGCUUCUUAGAACCAAGGCCACCUUGCUCAAAACUAGGUUACUUUGGUAUGGGGAGGCUUCCUGCACAUUCUACUGGGGAGUGUCUCAGUAUUCAUCUUCUCUCACUAGAUAUAAUGUUAAACUGAGUAAAGUUAUCCUCCUGGGAUACACACACAUCGACGCAGACACAAACACCCCCCCCCCCACACACACACACAUUUUUUUGUAAUUGUAUUCACCUAAGGCUCAAUAAUGGCAGCAACAUAAGUAGUAAGCUCAUGGAUCUGAUAUGAUUUACAUUCAAUUUGAUGUUUUGAGAAUUAUCCCUUAUUAGUGAUAUUAAUAUAUUUUAAAGGACCAUAUAUUGCAUUCAUUUCACCCUUUAGUUCCUGAAUGGCUCUUUAUUUCAAAUAGCCAUUGAGUGCUAAUAACCAAUAUUGAGGAAUACUGUUUCAUGGUGCACAUUUAUUUCAUACACUAUUGAAAAAUAAUAAGAAAGAACUUUGGGAUAUGCUGCUUGCUAUAGUUGAUUAUUUGAAUUUGGCAUACUUUUGUUUUGAGUGAACAAUUACAUUUUGGUACCUUGAGAAUUUAUAAGCACAAAUGUAUGUAAAUAAGUAGGCAGAUUUAUUAAUUUAAAAGAGCAGGGGUGUUUGAAAGUUUUUAUUUGUAGUCUAUCCAAUAAUAUUUAAUAAUACUAAUUUAGGUAUCUCCUACAUACAUUAAUAACGCUAGAGGAGUGUCUGCUGUGGUGUGGUGGACUAAGAAUCUGACUACAGGAGCUCCCAUCAUGGCUCACCGGUUAGUAAACCCAACUAAAAUCCAUGAGGAUGCAGGUUCAAUCCCUGGCCUCGCUCAGUGGGUUAAGUAUGCUGCACGGCUGUGAGCUGUGGUGUAGGUCACAGACAUGGCUUAGAUUCUGACAUAGGCUGCGGCUACAGCUCCGAUUGGUCCCCUAGCCUUGGAACCUCCAU